GUAAGAAAACCAGACCUGAUUCUUUCAUGGGGGCCUUUCAUCAGAAACCUGGGGAACAUUCUGUGUGACCUCAUAAAGGACUGGGCCACCUAGGAUGGGACUCUGUUUUCUCACCUCUACAAGGGGAAGUUGUCUCAGGACACAUGGGCUGUUGUUCUUCAUGCAUGGAGUUAUAUACAUCCUGUGCACCUUUUCUAUCUUUGACUCCUCAAUGGAGCUGAAAUCCCAGGUGCAGCCCCAGGAUGAGCGUCUCCAGGACCACUUGGUGCCUCCUGCGUUCUCUGAUGAAGAGCCCCAGGCUCCAGCCCACGCUGAUGUCCCACCUGCAGAGCUCGUGCCAACUGCAACUGCAGCUCCCUCACCAGUUCUGACCCCACAACAAGAGCCAGGACCUGAAACCCCUUCUCCACCAGCUGCAGAGCUGCAACUCCUGGUGGCUCCACAGCAAGUGCUAUCUCUUGAGCUCUACUUGGGGUCAACCCUUGACCCAUACCUGGAAUUCCUCUCCCUUAUAGAUUUAGUUAUUAUUAUAUUUAUUGUUACUCUUAUUUUCCAGAGACAGGUCAAUGACAGAA
RNAcentral lists this long non-coding RNA (575 nucleotides) under Heterocephalus glaber (naked mole-rat). Its description in RNAcentral is "lncRNA (ENSHGLG00000031788.2)". The record is from RNAcentral. Lineage: Eukaryota; Metazoa; Chordata; Mammalia; Rodentia; Bathyergidae.